AUUUUUGUGGCUGAGUUCAGGCGGUAGAUUGUAAAUCUUCUUACGGCUUUUUGCCCAGAGCUA
This 63-nucleotide transfer RNA is filed under the name Peronia peronii. RNAcentral's name for it is "tRNA-Tyr". Lineage: Eukaryota; Metazoa; Mollusca; Gastropoda; Systellommatophora; Onchidiidae. The record is from RNAcentral.